GACGAACGCUGGCGGCGUGCCUAAUACAUGCAAGUCGAACGCAGUGGGGCCGGGUGAGUAACACGUGGGUAACCUCCCAUCAGAGGGGAUAACACUUGGAAACAGGUGCUACAACGAUACUGAUGGAUGUACCCGAGGUGCAUUAGCUAGUUGGUGAGGGAACGGCUCACCAAGUCCACGAGUAAUAGCCGAACGAAGAGGGUGAUCGGCCACACUGGGACGUAGACACGGCCCAGACUCCUACGGGAGGCAGCAGUAGGGAAUCUUCGGCAAUGGACGAAAGUCUGACCGAGCAACGCCGCGUGAGUGAAGAAGGUUUGCGGAUCGGAAAACUCUGUUGUUAGAGAAGCGGUAUCUAACCAGAAAGCCACGGCUAACUACGUGCCAGCAGCCGCGGUAAUUC
Molecule: ribosomal RNA, 403 nt
Filed under: uncultured bacterium
Lineage: Bacteria
Description: partial 16S ribosomal RNA
Rfam family: Bacterial small subunit ribosomal RNA
Source: RNAcentral